UACGGAGGGUGCAAGCGUUAAUCGGAAUUACCGGGCGUAAAGCGCACGUAGGUGGUUUGUUAAGCCAGCUGUGAAAUCCCCGGGCUCAACCUGGGCACUGCAGUUGGAACUGGCAAGCUAGAGUAGGGUAGAGGGGUGUGGAAUUCCAGGUGUAGCGGUGAAAUGCGUAGAUAUCUGGAGGAACAUCAGUGGCGAAGGCGACACCCUGGACUCAUACUGACACUGAGGUGCGAAAGCGUGGGGAGCAAACAGG
This 253-nucleotide ribosomal RNA is filed under the name uncultured bacterium. Its description in RNAcentral is "partial 16S ribosomal RNA". It matches the Rfam family "Bacterial small subunit ribosomal RNA", at positions 524 to 776 of the family's 1533-position model. The record is from RNAcentral.